GCAGGCGUAGCUCAAUGGUAGAGCUUCUGGUUCCCAACCAGAUGACGAGGGUUCGAUUCCCUUCGCCUGCUCCA
Molecule: transfer RNA, 74 nt
Filed under: Gammaproteobacteria bacterium
Lineage: Bacteria; Pseudomonadati; Pseudomonadota; Gammaproteobacteria
Description: tRNA-Gly
Rfam family: tRNA
About the family: Transfer RNA (tRNA) molecules are approximately 80 nucleotides in length.
Source: RNAcentral